AGAAGGGAGCUUCUCCCGGAUGUUACGCGGCGGGUGAGUAACACGUGGGUAACCUGCCUGUAAGACUGGGAUAACUCCGGGAAACCGGAGCUAAUACCGGAUAGUUCCUUGAACCGCAUGGUUCAAGGAUGAAAGACGGUUUCGGCUGUCACUUACAGAUGGACCCGCGGCGCAUUAGCUAGUUGGUGGGGUAAUGGCUCACCAAGGCGACGAUGCGUAGCCGACCUGAGAGGGUGAUCGGCCACACUGGGACUGAGACACGGCCCAGACUCCUACGGGAGGCAGCAGUAGGGAAUCUUCCGCAAUGGACGAAAGUCUGACGGAGCAACGCCGCGUGAGUGAUGAAGGUUUUCGGAUCGUAAAGCUCUGUUGUUAGGGAAGAACAAGUGCGAGAGUAACUGCUCGCACCCUGACG
Molecule: ribosomal RNA, 415 nt
Filed under: Bacillus pumilus
Lineage: Bacteria; Bacillati; Bacillota; Bacilli; Caryophanales; Bacillaceae
Description: bacterial SSU rRNA
Rfam family: Bacterial small subunit ribosomal RNA
Source: RNAcentral